AUACGGCCAUACCAUGCUGAAUAUACCGGUUCUCGUUAGAUCACCGAAGUCAAACAUCAUCGGGCGCGGUCAGUACUUGGGUGGGUGACCACCUGGGAACACCGCGUGCUGUU
RNAcentral lists this ribosomal RNA (113 nucleotides) under Caerostris darwini. The record is from RNAcentral. Lineage: Eukaryota; Metazoa; Arthropoda; Arachnida; Araneae; Araneidae.